Molecule: ribosomal RNA, 256 nt
Filed under: uncultured Rhizophagus
Lineage: Eukaryota; Fungi; Glomeromycota; Glomeromycetes; Glomerales; Glomeraceae
Description: partial large subunit ribosomal RNA
Rfam family: Eukaryotic large subunit ribosomal RNA
Source: RNAcentral
GAAAGAUGAAAAGAACUUUGAAAAGAGAGUUAAACAGUACGUGAAAUUGUUGAAAGGGAAACGAUUGAAGCCAGUCGUACCUUCGGGUAAUCAGCCUUUCGGGUGCGAUUCUGUGGAGUUUGAGGAGCUUAACACCUUCAUGCUUUGCAUAUUCGUGCUCUUGGGUGUACUUGCUCGUAUGGUUGGUUAACAUCAAUUUUGGUGGUCAUAAAAUGACUGGAGGAAUGUACCUUCGAUCUCGUAUUGAAGUGUUAUA